This is a long non-coding RNA of Eucalyptus grandis, 707 nucleotides long. RefSeq lists it as uncharacterized. The record is from RefSeq and is a predicted model, not a curated record. The transcript has 2 exons. Lineage: Eukaryota; Viridiplantae; Streptophyta; Magnoliopsida; Myrtales; Myrtaceae.
UGUCUUAAGGCAAGCAACAUGCGCUUGCGAUAGGCUUUACAAAAACGUCGGUUAAAGACAUGUGAGUUUCCUCCUAUAUCCACAUUCAAGAAUCAGAAACUCUUUCAUAGAAUCAUAUUUGGAACCUGUUCAAUAGAAUUCUUGGUGAACAACAUGAAUAAUAGUUACCUGUUUCUUGUUUUGCAUAUCUUUUAUCUCUCUUUUUAAGACUAAGUCAAUUGCUUGAUAUGCAGACGGGCUGUUAACAAGGGCAUUGGGGUCGAUAACAUGCAUUAUCUUAAUGAUGGUCUUUGGAAGAUGGAGCGUUUAGAUUGAUGAUGAAGCUUCAAAGUAUUCAUUCCAGAGGAUAGUGUUAAUCCAUAUGUUACGACUUUGUGAAGGCCCUUAUUUAUACUUUCUUUCUCCGUUUGCUGUUCAAUUACAAGUCAAGAGGUCAUGUGUUUCUCCAUCAGGCUGGCUCUUUUCUUCAAUGUCUGCUGUACAGAUGCAUCCCUCAUUAACCGUUUUGGAUUUGGUGUUGAAUUCUGAUACAAGUUGAUGGGUAGCAUUCGACUAUCGAAGCAUGAUGGUGGAAUCCAACUUUUACAGCUUCUAGGACAGAUUCGGUUGUGGUUCUCUUUGAAAUGGAUGGGGAGUCUGUAGGAUGGAGUUCUCCUGUUCUAUCCAGGAUCCAUUUCAAACUGGUUCAAAUCUCUCUUCCUAAGCAA